AAUAAGAUCAUUUUUCAGCUUUUGGAUACAAUAUUUUGACUCUUCGUCUUAUUUGAAAAUUUUUUGCGAUUAAUAUUUUUAUUCUUACCUGAUAACAAAACAUGAAUGGUACUUUAUAUGUCAUUAAUUUUUUUAAGUUUUUUAUAAAUUUUUUAAAUAAAACAAAUGGUCAAAUGUUGUACACAGAAAAACAAAAAAUGGAGUUAUU
Molecule: microRNA precursor, 208 nt
Filed under: Oryza brachyantha (malo sina)
Lineage: Eukaryota; Viridiplantae; Streptophyta; Magnoliopsida; Poales; Poaceae
Description: MIR812 microRNA precursor family
Rfam family: MIR812 microRNA precursor family
Source: Rfam by way of RNAcentral